This 257-nucleotide ribosomal RNA is filed under the name uncultured bacterium. RNAcentral's name for it is "partial 16S ribosomal RNA". It matches the Rfam family "Bacterial small subunit ribosomal RNA", at positions 29 to 311 of the family's 1533-position model. The record is from RNAcentral.
AGCGAACGCUGGCGGCAGGCUUAACACAUGCAAGUCGAACGGGCGUAGCAAUACGUCAGUGGCAGACGGGUGAGUAACGCGUGGGAACGUACCUUUUGGUUCGGAACAACACAGGGAAACUUGUGCUAAUACCGGAUAAGCCCUUACGGGGAAAGAUUUAUCGCCAAAAGAUCGGCCCGCGUCUGAUUAGCUAGUUGGUGAGGUAACGGCUCACCAAGGCGACGAUCAGUAGCUGGUCNGAGAGGAUGAUCAGCCAC